Molecule: long non-coding RNA, 340 nt
Filed under: Trifolium pratense (red clover)
Lineage: Eukaryota; Viridiplantae; Streptophyta; Magnoliopsida; Fabales; Fabaceae
Description: long non-coding RNA (TPRA_LNC006030)
Source: RNAcentral
AAAGAAAGCAAUACCCAAGCACAGUUUAACCUCCCCGGCAUUUUUGCACUUAAGGAGGGUCCUAGUAUUAAUAAAACGAGGAGAGGCCUUAGGCUCCCCGCGUUCAUCUCUUAUGGUAACUCCCUUACGAGUCGUCCAGACCCCGGGAGUAAAACCGGCCACAAAGGUCUUCAGACUUUCGAAGGCAGCCAUGUCCUCGGGAGACAAGUCUGCGUCCCCGGUUGUAUAUUCCUUGGGCUCCUUCAGGAAAUGGGUAUACGACCAGCUUAACGGGAACUUAGGGACUGCCCGAAAUAUAACUUGCCCGCUGGCAUCCUUGCGAGCAACACCUUGCUCGUCC